UUGUCUACAACAUAAACUGCAGCUGCGGUAGGAAAUACAUUGGGAAGACCACACAACGUCUUGAGGUCCGUAUUCGUCAACAUAAGGACAGCAUAAGAAACAACGAGAGAAAGACUGCACUUUCCACCCACGCCAUCGAGAAUGAAUGCUCUUUUGACUUUGGCGGCACGACAGUGUUGGAUAGAGAAGCACAACAUCACAAACUUCUCAUUUUGGAGAUGAUCUACAUUCAAACAAACAGAGAGAGAGCAAUCAAUCUGCAGAGCGACACAUCCAAACUGGGCACUGUGUAUGCGGCCAUCAUACAGAGUAUGAGACUGGAUGAGGAAAGGAGAAUGAGAAGGAGAGAGGGAGAGAGAAUGUUGGAGAGAGCUCAGCGGGAGAUGGAACGCUCUGAUGGGGUGCAAGAAGGAGAUGCGCGCGCAGUACAGAUUGGCCACCAAUGAGAGGAGCUAAAGAAAAUUGUGUUGUAGAUGUAGUGAUUUUUGAUCGAUUCGUGACGUGGUUAAUUUUGUCCAUUGACUGCCCUGAGGAAGGACUAAAAUAGUCCGAAACGUUGGCCGGAAAUAAAAGUUAAUUAGCCGAGAACAAGACCGAAAA
Lutzomyia longipalpis is the source of this 600-nucleotide long non-coding RNA. RefSeq lists it as uncharacterized. The record is from RefSeq and is a predicted model, not a curated record. NCBI's taxonomy places the organism in Eukaryota, Metazoa, Arthropoda, Insecta, Diptera, Psychodidae. The transcript is spliced from 2 exons.